CAGCACACCCGUUCACCAUCACGGUCUCACCAGCUUGCGGUUUACAAAUAUCGAGGAACCCGCAAUAAGCCGUCAUCCUGUUGAAUUUGUGACAAGCCGGACCUAAAUCCCUCCUUUAUACUGGCCCUGGUUAAUCAUUGAUGAAUAGCAUGACUUGCUAAACCUCAGCAGACAACGAGGAAUUUGUUCGUAACUUGAUCCCCAUGAACUAACACAAUGACUUGCAAAACCCAUUGAACCAACGCAUCACUUUUCAACAUUUAUUCCACGACCAAUGAACAUAUAAUAUUAUCAAAGUGCUCUAGGAAAGUUAUUGUUAACUAAUAUUUUAAAAUAAAAUAAAUGAUGAAAA
Non-coding RNA from Ciona intestinalis (vase tunicate), 352 nucleotides. The record is from RefSeq and is a predicted model, not a curated record. NCBI's taxonomy places the organism in Eukaryota, Metazoa, Chordata, Ascidiacea, Phlebobranchia, Cionidae.